This 299-nucleotide signal recognition particle RNA is filed under the name Cebus imitator (Panamanian white-faced capuchin). Its description in RNAcentral is "Metazoan signal recognition particle RNA (ENSCCAG00000006723.1)". It matches the Rfam family "Metazoan signal recognition particle RNA". From Rfam's summary of the family: The signal recognition particle (SRP) is a universally conserved ribonucleoprotein. It is involved in the co-translational targeting of proteins to membranes. The record is from RNAcentral. Lineage: Eukaryota; Metazoa; Chordata; Mammalia; Primates; Cebidae.
GCCAGGCAAGGUGGCACAUGCCUGUAGUCCCAGCUACUAGGGAGGCUGAGGUGGGAGGAUCGCUUGAGCCCAGGAGUUCUGGGCUGUCGUGUGCUAUGCCUAUCAGGUGUCCACACUAAGUUCGGCAUCAAUAUGAUGACCUCCCCGGAGCAGGGGACCACCAGGUUGCCUAAGGAGGGGUGAACCGGCCCAGGUUGGAAACGGAGCAGGUCAAAACUCCCGUGCUGAUCAGUAGUGGGAUCACGCCUGUGAACAGCCACUGCACUCCAGCCUGGGCAACACAGGGAGACCCCGUCUCA